GUUGUAUGGUUAAGUGACUAAGCGUACACGGUGGAUGCCUGGGCAGUCAGAGGCGAUGAAGGACGUACUAACUUGCGAUAAGCGCAGAUAAGGCAGUAAGAGCCGUUUGAGUCUGCGAUUUCCGAAUGGGGAAACCCAACUGCAUAAGCAGUUACUGUUAACUGAAUACAUAGGUUAACAGAGCAAACCGGGGGAACUGAAACAUCUAAGUACCCCGAGGAGAAGAAAUCAACCGAGAUUCCGGUAGUAGCGGCGAGCGAACCUGGAUUAGCCCUUAAGCACUCGGUGAAGUAGGUGAACAAGCUGGAAAGCUUGGCGAUACAGGGUGAUAGCCCCGUAACCGACGCUUCAUCGAGCGUGAAAUCGAGUAGGGCGGGACACGUGAUAUCCUGUCUGAAUAUGGGGGGACCAUCCUCCAAGGCUAAAUACUCCU
RNAcentral lists this ribosomal RNA (433 nucleotides) under Vibrio cholerae. Its description in RNAcentral is "partial 23S ribosomal RNA". It matches the Rfam family "Bacterial large subunit ribosomal RNA", at positions 1 to 477 of the family's 2925-position model. Lineage: Bacteria; Pseudomonadati; Pseudomonadota; Gammaproteobacteria; Vibrionales; Vibrionaceae. The record is from RNAcentral.